Molecule: ribosomal RNA, 758 nt
Filed under: uncultured bacterium
Lineage: Bacteria
Description: bacterial SSU rRNA
Rfam family: Bacterial small subunit ribosomal RNA
Source: RNAcentral
CAGGCGGUCUUUUAAGUCUGAUGUGAAAGCCCACGGCUUAACCGUGGAGGGUCAUUGGAAACUGGAGGACUUGAGUGCAGAAGAGGAGAGUGGAAUUCCACGUGUAGCGGUGAAAUGCGUAGAGAUGUGGAGGAACACCAGUGGCGAAGGCGACUCUCUGGUCUGUAACUGACGCUGAGGAGCGAAAGCGUGGGGAGCGAACAGGAUUAGAUACCCUGGUAGUCCACGCCGUAAACGAUGAGUGCUAGGUGUUAGGGGGUUUCCGCCCCUUAGUGCUGAAGUUAACGCAUUAAGCACUCCGCCCGGGGAGUACGGCCGCAAGGCUGAAACUCAAAAGAAUUGACGGGGGCCCGCACAAGCGGUGGAGCAUGUGGUUUAAUUCGAAGCAACGCGAAGAACCUUACCAGGUCUUGACAUCCUCUGACAGCUCUAGAGAUAGAGCGUUCCCUUCGGGGACAGAGUGACAGGUGGUGCAUGGUUGUCGUCAGCUCGUGUCGUGAGAUGUUGGGUUAAGUCCCGCAACGAGCGCAACCCUUGAUCUUAGUUGCCAGCAUUAAGUUGGGCACUCUAAGGUGANUGACCGGUGACAAAUCCGGAGGAAUGGUGGGGAUGACGUCAAAUCAUCAUGCCCCUUAUGACCUGGGCUACACACGUGCUACAAUGGAUGGAACAGAGGGCAGCGAAGCCGCGAGGUGUAGCAAAUCCCAUAAAACCAUUCUCAGUUCGGACUGCAGGCUGCAACUCGCCUGCAUGAAGCC